RNAcentral lists this ribosomal RNA (492 nucleotides) under uncultured bacterium. RNAcentral describes it as "partial 16S ribosomal RNA". It matches the Rfam family "Bacterial small subunit ribosomal RNA", at positions 29 to 507 of the family's 1533-position model. The record is from RNAcentral.
AGUGAACGCUGGCGGUAGGCCUAACACAUGCAAGUCGAACGGCAGCACAGUACGUUCUUGCUCUUACGUUUUUCGAGUGUCUUACGUUUUAUUUAUACAUCUGCAUCUACUUUUUCGUGUGGGAUAACGUAGGUUAACUUACUCUAAUACCUCAUACUACCUUCUGUUGAAUUCAUUUGAUCUUCUCACCUUUCGCGUUUGAAUGAGCCGAUGUCGGAUUUGCUAGUUGGCGGGGUAAAGGCCCACCAAGUCGACGAUCCGUAGCUGGUCUGAGAGGAUGAUCAGACACACUGGAACAGAGACACGGACCAGAAUACGAAGGGAGGAAGCAGUGGGGAAUAUUGGACAAUGGGCGAAAGCAUGAUCCAGCAAUACCGAGUGGGUGAAGAAGGACGUCGGGUUGUAAAGCCAUUUUGUUGGGAAAGAAAAGAAGCAGGUUAAUAACCAGAUGUUAUGACGGUACCCAAAGAAUAAGCACCGGCUAACUUCGUG